This 294-nucleotide ribosomal RNA is filed under the name uncultured bacterium. RNAcentral describes it as "partial 16S ribosomal RNA". It matches the Rfam family "Bacterial small subunit ribosomal RNA", at positions 355 to 641 of the family's 1533-position model. The record is from RNAcentral.
UAGGGAAUCUUCCACAAUGGACGCAAGUCUGAUGGAGCAACGCCGCGUGAGUGAAGAAGGUUUUCGGAUCGUAAAGCUCUGUUGUUGGUGAAGAAGGAUAGAGGCAGUAACUGGCCUUUAUUUGACGGUAAUCAACCAGAAAGUCACGGCUAACUACGUGCCAGCAGCCGCGGUAAUACGUAGGUGGCAAGCGUUGUCCGGAUUUAUUGGGCGUAAAGCGAGCGCAGGCGGAAGAAUAAGUCUGAUGUGAAAGCCCUCGGCUUAACCGAGGAACUGCAUCGGAAACUGUUUUUC